RNAcentral lists this ribosomal RNA (253 nucleotides) under uncultured bacterium. RNAcentral's name for it is "partial 16S ribosomal RNA". It matches the Rfam family "Bacterial small subunit ribosomal RNA", at positions 524 to 777 of the family's 1533-position model. The record is from RNAcentral.
UACGGAGGGGCUAGCGUUGUUCGGAAUUACUGGGCGUAAAGCGCACGUAGGCGGCUUUGUAAGUUAGAGGUGAAAGCCCGGGGCUCAACCCCGGAAUUGCCUUUAAGACUGCAUCGCUUGAAUCCAGGAGAGGUGAGUGGAAUUCCGAGUGUAGAGGUGAAAUUCGUAGAUAUUCGGAAGAACACCAGUGGCGAAGGCGACUUACUGGACACAUAUUGACGCUGAGGUGCGAAAGCGUGGGGAGCAAACAGGG